CGACCGAUGCGUCGCCGUUCCCUAGCUCGUUCCUCUCCGCUUCCGGGUAUCCCUGUCCUUCCUUCCUUCUGCCGCAGCGUGUUGUUAUCCUUCCAUAAGGUAGUAUUCCAUAAUAUGGCACUAUCACCGGACACUCGCACGUUACCGCGGACACUCGCGCAGCGUAUAUCGCAACGACGCGAGAUCAGGUUAGGAUUAUCGCGACGCCGUUUACGAAUUUCACAAGACGAUCGCCCGGCUGUUCGAUCGAUCCGAUUCACUUCCGACACUUGUUUUCGCACGCGAUGUCCACUAGGGAACGUGAAGUCAUAACACGACGGACGCGGAACUCCCGAUUUCGCGCCCUUCCGCGUCUCCGGGACGGGAGACCGAGGUGCUUGCUGAAGUUCGAGAGCAGGAAGCAGGAAGGUCACCUCGGAGAGAUAGGAGUCCCUUCUCGAUGAGAGACCGAUCGCGAACAAGGCUCGAGCACCGCUUCCGAGAUCUCAAUCGACAUACCGACGAGACGAGGAACGCGGAGUAGUUAGGUCAAGCGACAAGUGACGCUGCGAAUUGUGUCGAACGCGACGCACUUCACGAUACUCGAGAUCCCGGGUAUACCACACGCGACGUCGCACUAUUCUUUCGUACCCUCGCGCGCGAGUAACGAACAUAUCAAGGUCGUCGCCGUUGCCCACGACGUUCGCGACAUUCCGACGGCCAAAAAGAUCGCUCGAUCGCGCGCCAAACGAUACUUGGCUCUGCCUGCCCGCCAUUGUGCUCCGCGACUGAAGAGUGCGAGGGGGAAAGCGGUUCGCCACCUAGAUGCGAGUGACCGUGACGUAAACGCGGGGGGGCUCCAGCACCGCUUUUGAGAAUCGACGAGGGAAAGAGUGCGGAAUCACGUCUUCGGGCGACGCGAGACGCGGUCGGACGCGACGCACCUCACGAUACUCGGGAUCCCGCGUACUUCACGUCCGACAACGCGACACGACGAGAAACACGGAGCCGGUGGGUCAAGCCUCGUCGACAGUAAUCAUAAGUAGCUAGUUGCAACUCGCGACAGCCAAUGACUGUCGAGCUUGUACUAGAAACCAGACGCUCAUUGGCUGUCGCAAGUCGCGACUGGCUGCUUGCGACUUUUGUAGACGAGGCGUCGAGCGACUCGAGAUCCCGCGUAUACCACACGCGACGUAGCGCUAUUCUUUCGUACCUUUCGUACCCUCGCGCGCGAGUAACGAACAUAUCAAGGUCGUCGCCGUUGUCCACGACGUUCGCGACAUUCCGACGGCCAAAAAGAUCGCUCGAUCGCGCGCCAAACGAUACUUGGCUCUGCCUGCCCGCCAUUGUACUCCGCGAUCGGACUGAAGAGUGCGAGGGGGGAAGCGAUUCGCCACCUAGAUGCGAGUGACCGUGACGUAAACGCGAGGGGGGGGGGAGGGCUCCAGCACCGCUUUUGAGAAUCGACGAGGGAAAGAGUGCGGAAUCACUUCUUCGGGCGACGCGAGACGCGGUCGGACGCGACGCACCUCACGAUACUCAGGAUCCCGCGUAUCUCACGCCCGACAACGCGACACGACGAGAAACACGGAGCCGGUGGGUCAAGCCUCGUCGACAGCAGUCGUAAGCAGCUAGUUGCGACUCGCGACAGCCAAUGACUGUCGAGCUUGUACUAGAAACCAGACGCUCAUUGGCUGUCGCAAAUCGCAACUGGCUGCUUGUGACUUUUGUAGACGAGGCGUCGAGCGAUAAGUGACUCGAGAUCCCGCGUAUACCACACGCGACGUCGCGCUAUUCUUUCGUACCCUCGCGCGCGAGUAACGAACACGGGGGGAGGAGGGGGGGGAGUGGCUCCAGCACCGCUUUUGAGUAAUCGGCGAGGGAAAGAGUGCGGAAUCACGUCUUCGGGCGACGCGUGCCGUGUGAACUGUGACGCGGGACGCGGUCGGACUUCACGAGGGUUAAGAUCCCACGCAUUUCACGCCCGACAACGCGAUGCAACGCGACGAGGAACGCGGAGCCGUGGUCAGGUCAAGCGACGAGUGACUCUGCGAAUUGUGUCGAACGCGACGUACUUCACGAUACUCGAAACCCCGCGAACACAUCAAGGUUCGUUGUCGUUGUCCGCGACAUUCCGACGGCCAAGGAGAUCGCUCGAUCGCGCGCGCGCCAAACGAUACUUGGCCUUGCGUGCCCGACGUUGUGUUUCGCGACAGGAGUAAUUGUGAGAUAUCGAGAACCGAAGAGAGCAAAACGGGGGAAGUAGUUCGCCACCUAGGUACGAGUGGUCACGACGUAAACACUGAUCGGAGCUCCAGCACCGACGAAACGAAGAGCAUCGGGAUCCAUGUUUCCGGACGACGUGUGCUGUGUGAAGUGUAACGCGACGCACGUUUGUCGAGCGCGACGCACUUCACGAUACUCAAGCUCCCGCGUAUUUCACGCCCGACGACACGGACGUUGCUCGCGGAGUCAUUUCUUGUACCUCGAUCGGCCCCGACGGACACACCGGGGCUCAUUGCCGUCGCUCGCCGACGAUUCGCGUCCUACGGAGGAAAGAUCUCGCGAUCGCGACGAAGUGUGUGAAUUGGUGUAAAUGUCCUCGCGACGGCAUCGGCACGAGUCGCAGCGUCGAAGCGUCGACUAUGGCAGGAGGGACCCCUCUCCCCCCUCCCGGGGGGAUAGUGAACGAGAGAAGCCAGCUGCUGAUUGACCACUUCAAGAAUCCGACAUUUCUAGAAAGAGAAAAAAAAGUCGAGCCGCGUCGUCGUCCGCGCCGUUCGUGCCCUUGGAAUGCGAGCUCGCACUUGUUGUUAUCUUCGCGAUGACCAGGAAAAGGGACUCUCUUCGGACAAGCGUCGACGCUCGAAGUCCCGAUUGUAAAUCCGUCACUGUCACUUCGCGAUUUACCGUAGAUUGAAAAACAAUGGGACCAUCUCGACUCGCGGCCACUCCGUCCGAGAAGAGGUCGGCCGCGAAAACACGGAAAGGCUCUCGAUAUCUUAAUCUUAAUGACGUCAAAAGAUACUUUACAAGCGGGUAAGCGAUGAACGCGAGGUCACGUAGGUGACCCGCUGGUCGUCAACGUGGACUCGACAGCUGUAGUGUGUCAGUGAGGUCGCGCAGAGGAUAGCCAGCAAACCUUUCAAUCUUCUCAAAUUUUCUACGAAUCUUUUAAACCUCCUGUCUAAGACAGCAACGGAUUUAUAAUUGGUUCUUCGGGAUUGUGUUCGACCGCUUUUUAAGAACCGGAUGAUCGCCAACCACUUCGGUAACACCAUUGAGGUCGCGCAGAGGAUAGCCAACAAACCUUUCAAUCUUUUCAAAUUUUCUACGAAUCUCUUAAACUUCCUGUCUAAGACAGCAACGGAUUUAUAAUUGGUUCUUCGGGAUUGUGUUCGACCGCUUUUUAAGAACCGGAUGAUCGCCAACCACUUCGGUAACACCAUUGAGGUCGCGCAGAGGAUAGCCAACAAACCUUUCAAUCUUUUCAAAUUUUCUACGAAUCUCUUAAACUUCCUGUCUAAGACAGCAACGGAUUUAUAAUUGGUUCUUCGGGAUUGUGUCCGACCGCUUUUUAAAACCCGGAUGAUCGCCAACCACUUCGGUAACACCAUUGGUAAGUACACACCAUGUUAUCCACCAGAUUUAUCGACCAAAAUAUCGAAUUUAAGAAACUGUGUUUGCAGACCGAGAGUAACGACGCACAGUUCGAAAAGAGUAGGAAAUGCACGUAAAAAAAUCACGUAGAAAAUAUUAUUGAGCACUUUUCGUUCGCCUUCUCUUGAUUUUAAUCAGUGUCUAUUCGACGUAAAAUUUUAUCUCUACUUUCGACCUCAAUUAAACCUUUCAUGUCUUUUGAUAAUUUAAACGCUCAAAUAGAUUUUUUUUAAAUCUUUUCUAAAUAUACUAUGAUUAUAUAUUACGAUCAUAUUUUCUUAGAAAAAAAUAAAAGACAAAAGUUUUAUAACUUUAUUCCUAUUUCUUCCGAAUCAGUUUGUGGCUAUCAAGAGUUGGCAUCACAAAAUGUUCGUGCAGUAUAUCAAAAUGAGAUUAUUGCAAUUUUUUCAUAGUUUGAAACUAGCUCGAUUGUAUUAAAGCCUGUGGUUUAAAUCUGAAGUAAAUAGGUUCAAAAUAGUGAAAAAUUAAAACAGAUCUAAAUUGAAUAAUGUUAAUCUAAAUAAUUGAAAGCUAUAAUUGACAAUAGACAAAACAAAUAUUGCAUGAAUUAUAUUGCAUGAAACUGAAUUUGUCGAUUCGCAAAAAUUCACUCAUUAACACGAGAGCUAGACUUUGAAAUGCUAAUUAAAAAAAUUCUUUUUACUAUUUAAAUAAAGGACAAAGUUUUGAAAAAAAAAAAAGAAAUUAAAAUCUGCAAGACAAAAUUAUACCUGAGCGAAUUGUUUUUUACAUUAAAGAACAUGAAUCUGUACUAUUAAAAAUUCAAAGCUGAAUCAGAGCGGAGAGGGGAAGGAAGGAGAACAUUAGCAUUUGUUUUCUUUUUCGUGAAAACACGAAACGUAUUAAGUGCGUUAAUGCCCUUGGCCGAAACAUAAUU
This 4537-nucleotide long non-coding RNA is filed under the name Monomorium pharaonis (pharaoh ant). Its description in RNAcentral is "uncharacterized LOC114254973, transcript variant X2". The record is from RNAcentral. Lineage: Eukaryota; Metazoa; Arthropoda; Insecta; Hymenoptera; Formicidae.